GCCCUUCCUCCCAACUUAAAGUGCUUUACAAUCCGAAGACCUUCUUCACACACGCGGCAUGGCUGGAUCAGGCUUUCGCCCAUUGUCCAAUAUUCCCCACUGCUGCCUCCCGUAGGAGUCUGGACCGUGUCUCAGUUCCAGUGUGACUGAUCAUCCUCUCAGACCAGUUACGGAUCGUCGCCUUGGUGAGCCAUUACCUCACCAACUAGCUAAUCCGACCUAGGCUCAUCUGAUAGCGCAAGGCCCGAAGGUCCCCUGCUUUCUCCCGUAGGACGUAUGCGGUAUUAGCGUCCCUUUCGAGACGUUGUCCCCCACUACCAGGCAGAUUCCUAGGCAUUACUCACCCGUCCGCCGCUGAAU
This 360-nucleotide ribosomal RNA is filed under the name Pseudomonas graminis. RNAcentral describes it as "partial 16S rRNA". The record is from RNAcentral. Lineage: Bacteria; Pseudomonadati; Pseudomonadota; Gammaproteobacteria; Pseudomonadales; Pseudomonadaceae.